UACGUAGGGUGCGAGCGUUAAUCGGAAUUACUGGGCGUAAAGCGUGCGCAGGCGGUUAUGCAAGACAGAUGUGAAAUCCCCGGGCUCAACCUGGGAACUGCAUUUGUGACUGCAUGGCUAGAGUGCGGCAGAGGGGGAUGGAAUUCCGCGUGUAGCAGUGAAAUGCGUAGAUAUGCGGAGGAACACCAAUGGCGAAGGCAACCCCCUGGGCCUGCACUGACGCUCAUGCACGAAAGCGUGGGGAGCAAACAGG
RNAcentral lists this ribosomal RNA (253 nucleotides) under uncultured bacterium. RNAcentral describes it as "partial 16S ribosomal RNA". It matches the Rfam family "Bacterial small subunit ribosomal RNA", at positions 524 to 776 of the family's 1533-position model. The record is from RNAcentral.